UGACAGAGGCUUUCUUUAGUACGAAAGGACCAAGAAAGCAGGACCAAUGUUAAAAACACGUCCUCACAAUAAAACUGAAAUCAACUAAAAUUACCCUCACCACUAGGCCGAAGACGACGGCUAAGUUAGGGUGGCAGAGCCAAGUAUUGCAAAAGACCUAAGAUCUUUCAAACAGAAGUGCAAAUCUUCUCCCUAACC
Molecule: unclassified non-coding RNA, 198 nt
Filed under: Chalarodon madagascariensis (Madagascar iguana)
Lineage: Eukaryota; Metazoa; Chordata; Lepidosauria; Squamata
Description: partial contains 16S ribosomal RNA and tRNA-Leu
Source: RNAcentral